GUCAUAUUCAAGUGCCACUGGUUUGAUCCUGGACAAACUAGACGGACCCCUCAUCUUGGGCUAGUCGAGAUUAGACAUGAUUCCGUCUAUAUAGGAAAAGAUGUCUAUAUUGUGGCUCAACAGGCCGUGCAGGUGUAUCAUACGCCGUACGCGUGCACAGACAAAGACCAUCUUAAGGGUUGGUCUAUUGUGCACCAGGUAUCUUCGCAUGGUAAACUACCUCUUCCAAACGAUGAAGAUUACACCUUCGACACAAACACAUAUGAUGGAGAGUUCUAUCAAGCAGAUGGCCUAGAAGGGAGGUUUGAGAUAGUCUUACCCGGGAUAAUCGAUAUGGAAGUAGACAAUGAAAUGGUUGAUGACGACGACCCUGGAGAUGUAGUGGUGGAUCUUAAGGACAUUGAAAUGCUUGAGCGAUUCCAUUUAGGUAGAGACGAUGAAGAAAACACCGAACCUUCGGAUAGUGUUGCCCAUUUGGACAACUUUGACAGUGAUGACGAGACCUAUGACCCAGGGGAAGAUUAUUCCUAAAUCAUGUAAUACUAUGUUAAUUAUUAAAAUUUGUUAUGUUCAUUCAUUUUGAACUAUUUGUAAUACUAUGUUACUAACGCUUGUUGUUUAUUCUUUGUAAAUUUCAGGUGACAGAAACAAAGAUGGUGGCCAACCGUUCACCGAGGCAGGUAGCCUCAGUGUACCGGAGGCUAUGCCCUGCUGAUGGAGUCGAGGGGACGGGUCCGAGUCGUGGCCCGGGUCGCCCUAGGACGAGGAUGCUGUCGACGUUGAUGGGGACGAGGACGGCCCAGGGUCGCCCCAGGCGGGGCCGACCUCCUACCCCAGCUCACGACUAGUCGGAGGACCACCCGGAGGACCACGAGGUGGCCACGGACAAUCCGUCCGUGAACAACGGGGGCUAGGGAGACGGAUGAGGGGACUCAGCAGACGGAGGACAGUUCUGCUCACUCGACUCCCUACCUGCAAGGUGCCACAAGGCUUCCUAGUGUUCCGCAUCAUGAACGACGCCCACUGAUACGUCCAGCAGGAAGAAGGUAAGUAACUAUAGAUGUUAUCACUAGUACUUCAUAUGAUACGUUGAAAAUCCAAAGACAAGCUGAUAUUUUUCCUGAAUCACUUUUGCAGGGGCUGGCUAGUUUUGGAGGGUGCUCUUGAUCCCCCACGCACCCCUGCUACCAUCCUGGGAUGUCUGUGGAGGAAACACUUCCCCGGCCUUGUGGACUUGGGAGACGGGAGGUGGGAGCCGGCCUGGUCAUGGCAGAGGUACGCACUCGGCGAGGAUGACGAGAAGGCCAACAAGCAGGAGCGGGUUUUGGCGGACUUUUGGGUAAGUGUAUCAUAAUAAAGGUCAAUGCAUCUCAAUUGGUUAGUCUUUUAUUGAAAUAAUGCACGAAUACAUUAUGUUUGCACACAGAGUUACUUCAAGGCCGAACCAGGUCGAGAGAACCUGGCGGAUCAGACAGCACACAAAGCGUGUCAGAAGUAUGUCGGUGACAUGAUUCACGAGGCGAAACUCCAGGCCCACAUCGACUACUGCAGGUCCUUCGAAAAGUAUCCCCUCAAGAAGGCCGGUGCAAGAAAUGUGAAGCUGACCCGGGAGCAGUACCUUCAGGUACUUGAAUAAAAUUGAUUCAUUUUGAGAGUUUGCAGGUCCAGAAUUGAUCUUUCUUCUACGUCUAACAAUUGAUGAUGUGUAGGUGACGCCCGGCUGGUGCAUGUCGUAUAGAUCGGCAUGGGCGAUGAUCGUGGACAAGAGGUUCCUUGACCCGGCGCACAUCGAAAAGCAAGAGCUCGGCAGGCGGAAGCGGGCACUGAGGGCCGGUCCAACUCACCACCAAGGCAGCCGCAACCUCCCCAAUUUCAAGCGAGCACUUGUACGUGAUGUUAUUUAUCUAUUCUAACGCUCAUUUCUGCCCAUUUUCUAAUCAUGUUGCCGUCUUUCUCGCAGGAGGCUGCACAGCCGGAUGUGCCGGUGUCAGAGUUUGGGGCAUGGGCUGUGUCCCACAUGGGCUCGGUGAAAUCCGGUGUCACCUUCAACCCGGAUGCCCCUACCCAGGCUUACUCUGACCCGACCAUCCACGCUAAAGUCACGGAGUACACGGAGUCGGUGAGGGCGCUGCGUGGCCCAAACGUUGAUCUGCGCACUCAUCCCCUUGAGACAGAGGUGAUCGUGAGGCGUGGGCAAGGUAGGCAACAUGGGCGGUUGUGGAUUGCAGACGGCGCUCAGUCCUCUGCCUCUGCACCGUAUCUCUCCGAAGUGAGGGCACGAAGCACGAGCAGUAGCCUGCCCAUACAUGCACGCCCAACUGCAACAUUGUCUCGGGUCGACGAACUUACGGUAAUUCCGGUCUCACUCAUCACAUCUCAAACUAAACAAUGUAUUGAUGUGCAGCUAGCUUUCUCCUAGAUUUAGAAAUAUAUUCAAUUGAAACCCUUUGCUGAUUGUCUAUUAGUUUGAGAUGUGCAGAACUGAAAUAGUGCAGAACUGAAUGUCUAUUGCAGAACUGAAAUGUGCAGAAGUGAUAGUGCAGAACUGAAAUAUAUUCUAGGGGCUGAACUGAUGUGCAGCUAGCUUUCUCCUAGAUUUAGAAAUAUAUUCAAUUGAAAGCCUAUUUCUGAUUGUCUAUUAGUUUGAGAUGUGCAGAACUGAAUGUCUAUUGCAGAACUGAAAUGUGCAGAACUGAAAUAGUUCAGAACUGAUGUGCAGAACUGAAAUAUAUUCUAGGGGCUGAACUGAAAUAGUGCAGAACUAAUGUGCAGAACUGCUUAUGCUAAUAACACAUGUACCUGUGUCUAGAGGCUGUAACUCUUCUCUAUUAAUGAAAUUGGUACACUGACACAUGUGAUUGAAACACUGCAGGCCGAGCUGAAUGAAACAAAGGAGUCGCACGCGCAGCUGACCGCUCAGCACGCGCAGCUGACCACUCAGGUGGCGCAGCUGACUGCAAAGGUGACCCAGCUCAUUCAAAGCAUGGGGCAAGGACAAGGUGUGCUAGCGGCUGGACAUUACACUCCUGUGAGUAUGAAAGUUGAAUUAUGUUGGCCUUCGUGCCGUUGUGACUUCCGGCCAUCGUGCCGUUGGUAUUGUCGGCCUUCGAGCCGUUGGUAUUGUCGGCCUUCGAGCCAUUGUUUUCUUGUAGGUUGGAAACCUCCCCGUGCAGGGGAGGUGCUGCCCAAAUUUUUAAUUUUUGAUCGAGUCUAACGCAUGCCAUCUCCUCUCUUUUGUGCAGCCUCCAUCGGCGGGUUCAAACGCUAAUGCACCACCAGCGGUUGAUCCCGUCAAUCCUUCACCGACGACCGGGAGGCCACCCUUUGAGUCUUCGCCACAGUAGCCCGGGAGGCCACCCUUUGAGUCUUUGCCGCAGUAGCUAUGUUGACCUUUUAAUAAUAGAGUUGUCAUGUUGAACUUUAAUGCAUUUUGUGAUGGUCACAGUAGCCACGUUGAACUUUGAUGCAUUUGUGCGGGACAUGUCAUGUUGAACUUUGAUGUAUUCGCCACAGUACUUGUCAUGUUGAACUUUGAUGCAAUUGUGCGGGACUUAUAAUAUUGAACUUGUGAUGUUCAAUUUUAAUGGAUUUUCGAUGGAUUGAUGAAAUAUGUGAGUGCUUGUUAU
RNAcentral lists this long non-coding RNA (3626 nucleotides) under Sorghum bicolor (sorghum). Its description in RNAcentral is "long non-coding RNA (SBIC_LNC005988)". Lineage: Eukaryota; Viridiplantae; Streptophyta; Magnoliopsida; Poales; Poaceae. The record is from RNAcentral.